RNAcentral lists this ribosomal RNA (448 nucleotides) under uncultured bacterium. RNAcentral describes it as "bacterial SSU rRNA". It matches the Rfam family "Bacterial small subunit ribosomal RNA", at positions 329 to 794 of the family's 1533-position model. The record is from RNAcentral.
UGCCAGACUCCUACGGGAGGCAGCAGUGGGGAAUAUUGCACAAUGGGGGAAACCCUGAUGCAGCGACGCCGCGUGAGCGAUGAAGUAUUUCGGUAUGUAAAGCUCUAUCAGCAGGGAAGAAGAUGACGGUACCUGACUAAGAAGCCCCGGCUAACUACGUGCCAGCAGCCGCGGUAAUACGUAGGGGGCAAGCGUUAUCCGGAUUUACUGGGUGUAAAGGGAGCGUAGACGGCAUGGCAAGUCAGAUGUGAAAGCCCGGGGCUCAACCCCGGGACUGCAUUUGAAACUGUCAGGCUGGAGUGCAGGAGAGGUAAGUGGAAUUCCUAGUGUAGCGGUGAAAUGCGUAGAUAUUAGGAGGAACACCAGUGGCGAAGGCGGCUUACUGGACUGUAACUGACGUUGAGGCUCGAAAGCGUGGGGAGCAAACAGGAUUAGAUACCCGAGUACC